GGUCUGUAGCAAUACAGGCGCUGGCGACCGGCAAACGGGUGCGGAACACGUACACAACCUUCCUUUAAGUGGGGAAUAGCCCGGGGAAACCCGGAUUAAUACCCCGUAAUAUUAUGAAAUGGCAUCAUUUUAUAAUUAUGGCUCCGGCGCUUAAUGAUGGGUGUGCGGCUGAUUAGGUAGUUGGCGGGGUAAUGGCCCACCAAGCCUGCGAUCAGUAACUGGUGUGAGAGCACGACCAGUCACACGGGCACUGAGACACGGGCCCGACUCCUACGGGAGGCAGCAGUAAGGAAUAUUGGUCAAUGGACGCAAGUCUGAACCAGCCAUGCCGCGUGGAGGAUGAAGGUCCUCUGGAUUGUAAACUUCUUUUAUUUGGGAAGAAACCCAUAGUUUCUACUGUGGUUGACGGUACCAGAUGAAUAAGCACCGGCUAACUCCGUGCCAGCAGCCGCGGUAAUACGGAGGGUGCAAGCGUUAUCCGGAUUCACUGGGUUUAAAGGGUGCGUAGGUGGGUCUGUAAGUCCGUGGUGAAAUCUCCGAGCUUAACUUGGAAACUGCCAUGGAUACUAUAGGUCUUGAAUACUGUGGAGGUCAGCGGAAUAUGUCAUGUAGCGGUGAAAUGCUUAGAUAUGACAUAGAACACCAAUUGCGAAGGCAGCUGGCUACACAAAUAUUGACACUGAUGCACGAAAGCGUGGGGAUCAAACAGGAUUAGAUACCCUGGUAGUCCACGCCCUAAACGAUGGAUACUCGACAUUUGCGAUAAACUGCAAGUGUCUGAGCGAAAGCAUUAAGUAUCCCACCUGGGAAGUACGAUCGCAAGAUUGAAACUC
Molecule: ribosomal RNA, 833 nt
Filed under: uncultured Sphingobacteriales bacterium
Lineage: Bacteria; Pseudomonadati; Bacteroidota; Sphingobacteriia; Sphingobacteriales
Description: bacterial SSU rRNA
Rfam family: Bacterial small subunit ribosomal RNA
Source: RNAcentral